RNAcentral lists this ribosomal RNA (274 nucleotides) under uncultured bacterium. RNAcentral describes it as "partial 16S ribosomal RNA". It matches the Rfam family "Bacterial small subunit ribosomal RNA", at positions 523 to 796 of the family's 1533-position model. The record is from RNAcentral.
AUACGGAGGGUGCAAGCGUUACUCGGAAUCACUGGGCGUAAAGCGCGCGCAGGCGGUCUUUUAAGUUGGAUGUGAAAGCCUACGGCUCAACCGUAGAACUGCAUCCAAAACUAUUAGACUAGAGUGUGGGAGAGGAAGAUGGAAUUAGUUGUGUAGGGGUAAAAUCCGUAGAGAUAACUAGGAAUACCAAAAGCGAAGGCAAUCUUCUGGAACACUACUGACGCUGAGGCGCGAAAGCGUGGGGAGCAAACAGGAUUAGAGACCCGUGUAGUCC